Molecule: ribosomal RNA, 549 nt
Filed under: uncultured bacterium
Lineage: Bacteria
Description: bacterial SSU rRNA
Rfam family: Bacterial small subunit ribosomal RNA
Source: RNAcentral
AAUAGAUACCCGGGUAGUCCACGCCCUAAACGAUGCUCACUAGGUGUUGGGGAAGCGAUUCCUUGGUACCGUAGCUAACGCGUGAAGUGAGCCGCCUGGGGAGUACGGCCGCAAGGUUAAAACUCAAAGGAAUUGACGGGGACCCGCACAAGCGGUGGAUGAUGUGGAUUAAUUCGAUGCAACGCGAACAACCUUACCUACCCUUGACAUGUCCGGAAGCCUGCUGAAAGGCGGGGGUGCUCGAAAGAGAACCGGAACACAGGUGCUGCAUGGCUGUCGUCAGCUCGUGUCGUGAGAUGUUGGGUUAAGUCCCGCAACGAGCGCAACCCUUGUCCCUAGUUGCUACGCAAGGGCACUCUAGGGAGACUGCCGGUGACAAACCGGAGGAAGGUGGGGAUGACGUCAAGUCCUCAUGGCCCUUAUGGGUAGGGCUUCACACGUCAUACAAUGGACGGUACAGAGGGUUGCCAACCCGCGAGGGGGAGCCAAUCCCAGAAAGCCGUUCGUAGUCCGGAUCGCAGUCUGCAACUCGACUGCGUGAAGUCGGAA